GAGUUCACGGAUCGAGGCAAAAUAAGCUCUCCCCCCGCUCCCGUCCCGUCGAUCAGCCUCGCCUUCGCCGGGGAAAGAGUUAAUGGUCCCUGCCCGGCCGCUUGCUUCCACACACCGCGAAGCCGCACCCCCCAGCUCACCUCGCCAGUCCUGAGACUUCUUAGGCAAUGGGAAAGUACAUUAAAGUUCCAUCUCUGUAUCUGUAAUGGCCCAUUCACACCUGCAAGUUAUCAUGAUGCUAAGUGACUGGCAGGUCAAGGAGCCCUGUAAACUGCAUGCAUAUUGUUUCCCAUAAAAUGGAUGCUAAUUGCUUCUGCAUAUGUUGGGAAACUGCAAUGGGUUCUGGCCUCUAGGUUGCACACAGGUUUCCUACAUGCUAUAGCCUCCAUGCCAUAAUCAUAAACUUAUUGCAAUAUCUCCAUGUAGGAGCUCGGUAUCAU
Long non-coding RNA from Podarcis raffonei (Aeolian wall lizard), 440 nucleotides. RefSeq lists it as uncharacterized. The transcript is spliced from 3 exons. Lineage: Eukaryota; Metazoa; Chordata; Lepidosauria; Squamata; Lacertidae. The record is from RefSeq and is a predicted model, not a curated record.